Molecule: long non-coding RNA, 1073 nt
Organism: Orcinus orca (killer whale)
Lineage: Eukaryota; Metazoa; Chordata; Mammalia; Artiodactyla; Delphinidae
Exons: 5
Source: RefSeq, a predicted model, not a curated record
AACACAUACAACUGGGACAGGCUAGCUUUAAUUCCUCUUCCUCGAGACAGUAGUGACCUUAAUAUACUCAGGAUCCCGUGGAUACAUAAUGGAGGGAGCUGGAGCUCAGAGAGGUCUAUCUCCAUGGACCCAUGUCAGGGUGUACAGCUUUUACUGAGGGCAUGCUCUGCCUGGCAGCAUGAUGAAAGUACUGAUAAAACUGUCUCCUGGACUGGACAAGCAGCAGGAAGUUGUGGGAUGUGGACAAGAACAGACAUAAGGAAGAGCCUUGAAUUUGGAAGGAGGCUGACCUGGAUAGCUCAGUUUCUCAGGUAUAAGUCAGACACUUGUCCAGUGCAUCCCCAAGCUGCAGAGGACACACAUCAAGUUCUCAGAAUCGUCUCACUGAAGCCCAUAUCACCAUGUUGAGAGCCUGUGCCCCUUUCCUAGAUCCUGGCCGACUAAGUAUCCAUCACACCAGGAUGGUGCAAUGUCACCCUGGAGUGCAGGGCCACAGAGGACCUGAAGGUGACCUGGGUAAGCAAGGGCCUCCCCAGGGAGCUAGAACAGAGGAACACUGGGACCAAGCUCUGAGCCUGCCCCUAAGCCAGACUGACUCCAGCCUCACCUGUGUGGUCAACAACCAUGUGGACCAGAAAACUACCACCUUAGACCUUGGGGAACUCUCUUGGGAUUAAGAGCGUGCCUGGCAAAAGACUACAACUCUAUUCUUAUUUCCAUUAUUGUGGACGAUACUGGCAAAAGCUCUUCUGUUCCUCAGCCUCCUUGGGAAGCUGGAAAUGGAGCUCACCAAGGAAAAUCUCCAGCAGAAGAAGGGAAAUUACAAGUGUCCAAGCAGGCUGGACAACUAGGUUGGGACUUUAUUUCCUUUUUCAUGCUUUGUCAAGUUUUCUGAAUCAUAAAUGAAUGCUUUCUAUCUUCUGCCAAGUUAAAAAAAAAUUUGCUAGCACAAAAAUUAUCUAUUCUUUAAAGAUGUGAGGAAUUCACAUUAGGCUUUGUGAAUAGGCUUUGCCUUUUAUGUCAUCAAAGGAGAAAACACUUAUGUAAGUUUUAUAAUAUUUUCUAUGUUCAUU